CUUUAGAAAUUCUGAUUUAUUGUAAUGACUUUUUUUGCUUGAGAAUAAGAGGAACAAAAGAAUCCAAACUUUACAGUGUAGAUAAGUCUGGAUCACUCUCAAAUUACCAUAAAAUUUUCCCUUCCGUUUUAUUCUUAGGUGGGUCUAAACUGUUUUUAAAUUAUAAAAAUUAGCCAUUGGGAAUAAUUAAAAUGGACACACCUAUUUUGCGUUUUGUUCCUGUUUGGUGUCUUUUAUGACAGCAAUAUUAGAUUUCAAAAUUAUAAGCCACUUGAUUCCUUGUGAGCUUGGUUAGAUCAUAUUUUGGGUUUCAUGGCUUCUCUUUUGAUCUUGAGUAAGAAAAUUAAUAUUUGCCUAUGAAAGUCUAUAUCUCAUUUCUUGUUAAAAGUAUACUCAUUACAUAGGACAGUAAGUUAACAGGCCUUUUUAGUAUUCCUAUGAUGUUUUUGGAAACUGAUAGAGGAAUCAUAUAGUUUGUUUUAUAGUAGUUUCAAGUUCACAUGGGUAUCUAUUUGGUGAAGCUUAGAUCCAGUUGUUCUUACGCCCAUGUAUGCAAGUAAAGACACCAAACGUUCUUUAAAUGAUGCUUUUAAACUUUGAAAAUACAAUUUGAAGCUAUAACUACAAAUUAGACUUAAAUAAAACCCUGAUUUUUCUUGGAAGAAAGAAAGGGUCUACAAAUAAAAUUUGAGUUGUUUGUAUUUCUUAAAAAUUAGGUGGUACCAGCUACAAAGUUCUCAUGAAGAAAAUUAGGAACGGGACUAGAAGUGAUACUGAAGAAGUAAUUUAUUCUGCUUCCCCCACCCAUCCUAAAAUAGAAACCCUAGUGAAAGCAUAAGAACAAAACAUGGGUUCCCUGUCAAAAUCCUUUCCUUUAAUUGCAAAUUCUAUUUUACUCUCACCAAUUAAAAACAUAUCUAUGGAAAUACUCCUCUAAUAUUACUUGAUAGGUUUUUUUCUGGCUAUUUUAUUUAACAGAAAAACAACUUUGGAAACAUUAAAUAUCACUUGAGAGCUUUUCUCUUCUUGAUGUCUUGAAACUUUUACUGUGGCAGCAUUCAGAGAAAAUAGAUUCAGAGCUUAACUUUUCACAGAAAGAAAUCUAAUAUGUAAACCUGAAAAAUGUCAAUUGAGGGAGGUCUUUAUUCUAAAUUUGCUUAGGUGUUUUUUUUUUAAAUAGGCACAAAUUAUGAGUUCUGGGAAAUUUUAUUUCCUGUUCUGCCAUCGUUUUUCUUCCCGAACCUAGUUCGUUUGGUUUUACUUAUGAGCCUGGUACAGUAAUGUCUGUUGGGAAAUAUAUUUACUUUUUAUUGAGGUAGAUCUCUUUUAUAGAUACCCUCCUGAGAUUGACACAAAUAUACCCCUUCCCCAAAAUAAAGAAUGCUAAUUUUUAUUUGAUCACUCAUUUAUAGCAGUUGCUUAAAUGUAUGUAUUUAAAUGACAGUUUUAAUUUUUUAAAAGCAAAAAAGUUUUAAUAAGUUGCCAGAUUUCUAAUAAAUCCAUGUUUAUUUGGUCAAUUGAUAUGGAAGUUGAGUUACUAUGGUUCUGUAGUUUUUUUAAACAAAAAGAGUUCAGCAUAUUUGUUUUUUAGUUUUCUUUAGUUACUGGGGUUAUUCUGCAUGAGAAAGCCCAAUGCUUUCUGUUAGUAGGUAAUUUUUCUCUCAUUUGAUUUUGAAAUCUGACUUAGGAGGUGAACCCUCUUUUUGAAAAGGUUAGCAUGCAUCAAAAUAAAUUAUAUAUUUUAAGUUCCAAAAUACAAGGGACAUAAAAUUCCAUUUCUAGCAUAAAGCCAUAUAAUAUUCUUGAAUCUCAUUACAUCAUUUGCCUCCUGCCCAUUUGGAUAAUCAUACCUACGUUUUAUUAAUUGUGUAUUAUUUGUAAAACCAAACCCUUCCAGUGAUACUUGCUAUAAGGCUGUUAACUUGCCAUUUAUAAAGACUUCUAAAUAUGUUAAAAUUUCCUGUUCUGAUUUUCCAAAGAGAAUUUUAUUAUACUGAGUUAUCUGAUACUGUUAAAGAAAACCAACUGAAGUAUGUAGAAGAAAUGUUAAUGUUAGUGUUGCCCUUUAUUAUCUGGAGUCUCUUAAGUGAGCAGCUAAGAAAAAGCCUUAUAGAAAGAGUGCACUGGAUUUAUAAGUGUGUUUAUGUUUCUCUAAGAAUGGGAGCUUCUGUUAACUUAGUUCUGAGUAACCGGGUGGAUUGGGUGACUGACUAGAGAAUCCAGAAUGACAAAUCCGUUAACCAGGCAUGUUUACUUGUGCAUUAGAAGUUUGUUGAUUAUUCUUAUUUUUAAAAUACAAACACUAAGCUUUAAAAAUGUAUAUUUAAUGUAUUGGUCAGUAAUUUAAAUACAAAUAUUUAAUUUGAAGUAGUUACUGUUAAUCUUUCUAGAGAAUUUUUUUUCUUUUUAUAUAUGUAUAUACAUAUAUAUUUUUUAUUUAGAGGUUACCAGAAGCUCUGGGUUUUUUGUUUUGUUUUUACUUUUUAAUCAUUUUCAGAUGUUAUCCAGAAAUCUGCAAGUGUACUUUUCCUGUUUUAACUCCUUCCUUUUAUCACCUGACUAUCAGGGAAGCGAGGUUGAGGCUGCCCUGACCUGACAUGUCAUGAUGUCGACUUGCUAGGUGGGGUUCGCUGGGGACGAUAACCAGUGGAAUUGUUGGGGUAAAGAUGAGGAUCAGUAUUGUCAAUAUGGUAACUGACCAACAAAGGGGCUCAACCUCAGUCUUCAAAAAUGUAAAGGAGAAAAUGUUUCCUUAAAUAAGGAAAUACUACAUUAUCGAAGAUCUCAUAUCAAGCACUUUUUGAAUAGAUUAGGAGACAGAAACAUCCCUAUACAGGUGUUCUUGGAGGAUUAAUCUCGUACUUCAACCAGGAAUCCUUUAAAUCUGCAGGUGUCAGUUCCCUAGGUUUUUAAGUAGGUUAAGCAGGGAUUAAUGUAUUUUAGAAGGCCAUCACUGUUUUUAUCAGCUAAAUCACUUUUGGAAAUUUUGUAUCUUAUAUUGAUCAAAAUAUUAUCAAAACAAAUUCUGGUUUCAUUCGAACCUAUUGAUUAUAAUGGUGUUUAGAUAUUUUUCUGUUGUUCAAAUUAGUUUGGUCAGAAGGUCUUGGGUAUACCUCUUGCAAAUUGUUGUAUAACUAAAUAUUUUUGGUUAGAUGGUACAUGUUUAGCAUUGGCUUGUCAUAUUGAAACUUUCCGUGCUUCCUUUUGAGAAGUAGAACCUUAGCAGAUAAUCAUAUUUAAAUGUAAGCUAUGUUGAAUUGGUGUGGAAAACAAUUUAAUCUGUUUAAAAUACAACCAACAAUAUAUAUUCUUAUUGAAACUUCUUUCUAAAUCAUGAAGAGUAAUGUAGGUAUGUUUGUUAGUUGUAAUGUUAUUUCUGUUUGACUUUCCAAAAUGUGGGGAAAAAAGAUGAGACCAUUUGUUGCAUUUAUCAAAAUAAUUUCGAAAGAACUUCUGGUGAUUGUUUUAAUUGUCUAGUUUACACUGUUUAGGUCACAGUUCACCACUCAGCAGUUUUUGUCAAACUUUAAUGUGGAUGGGAAUCCCUGGUAAUUUCGUUAAAAUACAGAUUCUGAUUCAGUAGAUUUGAGAUGAGGUGCAGGAAUCUGUAGGGGGCCAGCCCAGUGUCCUAGUGGUUAAGUUUAUGCACGCAGGAUCAGAUCCUGGGUAUGGACCUACACACUGAUCAUCAAGCCUCGCUGUGGCAGUGUCCCACAUGCAAAAUAGAGGAAGAUUGGCACACAUGUUAACUCAGGGCCAAUCUUCCUCCUCACCACCACCCUCCCCCCAAAAAAGAAUCUGCAUUUCUAGCAAGCUCUUAGGUGAUGCCAGUGUCCCUGAAUACACUUGCAGUAGCAAGGUCAUAGAUUGUUUAUCUCAUCUUUGGCGGGAAUUUCAGAGUAGACCUUAGUGGAAAAGAUAACAAAUGUUUGCAAUGAUUUGCAGGAUCUAGUUGGAUCUAAUUGGAGAUAAAAAACUUUGGUAAAGGCCACCGCAAAUGUUAAUAUGCUUAGGCUCCCAAAGAAAGGUUAGGAGCAUAGUCGACAAGAAAAUAAAAUGAAUUUAGAAAAAGAGGCUUUAAUAGUUUUAGGGAAUUGAGGGAAGAUAACAGUUGGAAGAAAAAAGCAAAAAAGAUCAGGUCACUUGAGGAAAUGUCCUGGCAUGUGUAUUUAGGAAUUAGUACAGAAAACAGGUUACAACAAGAGUCAUAGAAGAUAGAAUAAAAAUAACUUCUGAAAGCUCAGAAAGGGGAGGUUAAUCGGUUACUAAAAAUACCCAUGUGGUUUUAUUUAUUUGAAACUUCUAACUUUGAAAAAAGGUUAUAACAUUCACCAGUUAGUUCAAAGUAGAUCUUAGAUGGUGAAAAUCUGCAUCAGAUUAAAGAAAAAAAUCAUUAAAAGUGACUUUUAAAAAAUAAUUUAUACAGAUUAAGAUCAACAGAUGGAAAAUGCUCUUGAAGAAUAGAAAUGGCAGGUAUCUCCAUUAUAUAAAGAGGGGCUAAAAGAUAAUUCCUGAUAACUGUGAUGAAAUAAUCUGAUUGUCAACUCUAAAACUUUAUUUUGAAAAAUAAAAACAU
Long non-coding RNA from Equus asinus (donkey), 4576 nucleotides. Lineage: Eukaryota; Metazoa; Chordata; Mammalia; Perissodactyla; Equidae. The record is from Ensembl.